GGGGUUAUAUUUAACUAUAAUAUUUGAAUUGCAAUCAAAAGGUAUCCAACACAGGAUUAGCUUCU
This 65-nucleotide transfer RNA is filed under the name Nesophrosyne maritima. RNAcentral describes it as "tRNA-Ala". The record is from RNAcentral. Lineage: Eukaryota; Metazoa; Arthropoda; Insecta; Hemiptera; Cicadellidae.